UCACAUUGUCGGAUUAUCGAACGAAAAUUAUUCCCGCAGCGGUUAUCUAAAUGUGGUUAACAAGAGAGAAAAAUAAAUAUCAUAUAUGCGUCACGCAUACAUUAAUAUUGCAAGUUUUUUAAUUUAUCGUAUUUACGAGGAAGUCUUAGAACGAUUGUUUUAUUCGACCUUUUUAUAUGAAUAUAUGUUGUUUUUUAAUCGGUACAGUAAAACAAAAAAAAAACUUUGAUAGUUAUGCAGAUACUCAAUAUUUCCGUUGACAGAAAACUAAAUUUAUUUUUUUGUUUUUUAUGACUACACAGAGAAUUCGAUUAUGAUCAUUUAUCAGAAUAAUAUACGCGCAUGUUGAUUGAACGUGAUUUUCGAACCGUUAAUAACUUAUAUAGAAUCGAACAUAUUGAAGGGGAAAAAAACAUUCUUA
Cinara cedri is the source of this 421-nucleotide non-coding RNA. NCBI's taxonomy places the organism in Eukaryota, Metazoa, Arthropoda, Insecta, Hemiptera, Aphididae. The record is from the annotation of a GenBank genome assembly.